CGGUAAGGUGGCUGAGUUAGGCAAUAAAUUGUAAAUUUAUCAACGAAAUUAAUUUUCCCUUAUC
RNAcentral lists this transfer RNA (64 nucleotides) under Sipalinus gigas. RNAcentral's name for it is "tRNA-Tyr". It matches the Rfam family "tRNA". Rfam says of the family: Transfer RNA (tRNA) molecules are approximately 80 nucleotides in length. Their secondary structure includes four short double-helical elements and three loops (D, anti-codon, and T loops). The record is from RNAcentral. Lineage: Eukaryota; Metazoa; Arthropoda; Insecta; Coleoptera; Curculionidae.